UACGUAGGGUGCGAGCGUUAAUCGGAAUUACUGGGCGUAAAGCGUGCGCAGGCGGUUUUGUAAGCCAGAUGUGAAAGCCCCGGGCUCAACCUGGGAACUGCAUUUGUGACUGCAUGGCUGGAGUGCGGCAGAGGGGGAUGGAAUUCCGCGUGUAGCAGUGAAAUGCGUAGAUAUCGAGAGGAACACCAGUGGCGAAGGCGGACGUCCCAUGGCUG
This 215-nucleotide ribosomal RNA is filed under the name uncultured bacterium. RNAcentral's name for it is "partial 16S ribosomal RNA". It matches the Rfam family "Bacterial small subunit ribosomal RNA", at positions 524 to 736 of the family's 1533-position model. The record is from RNAcentral.